GAUCAUGUUCUAUGUGAGCUCCCGGGGCUUUGCUUUUUGAUCUCUUCUUUGCUUCUCUUCUUGCCUAGAAUCCCCACCGAGCAGGUGUCUCAGUCUUACUCCCUCCGGCCAAGGCCAGACCCGCCUCUGCUGGCUGCCCAGCUCCCUCUCCUCCACAAGGCUCAUGGGGCAGCUAACUCUCUCUCUCCCUCUCCCUGUCUCUGUCUGCAUCUCUGUCUGUCUGUCUGUCUCUCUGCCUCUGUCUGUCUCACUCUGCGUCCCUGUCUGUCUGUCCCUCUCUCUCUCAUCUAUCUGUCUCUCUCUCCCUCUCUCUCUGGGUUCCAUACCAGGGUGCUGCACUCCCCACCACUCCAGAGCCCCGGGGACAGCAGACGCUGGAAAAAGAAACAGUCACUCCAAGUCCCAGCCGUGAACUGUUAUUGCUGGAUUCCGGAUUUCCUGCACAUCCCAUAUUUACUUCUCUCCCUCUGCUCCCACCAGGUGGCCAUCCGGCGCAGGCCCCGGCUCUACGUCCUACACCUCCUCGUCCCCAGCGGCUUCCUGGUGGCCAUCGACGCCCUCAGCUCCUACCUGCCUGCAGAAAACGUGCACCGCGCCCCCUUCAGGAUGGCCCUGCUGCUGGGCUACAAUGUCUUCCUGCUCCUGAUGAACGACUUACUCCCCUUCGGCGGCAGCCCCCUCAUCAGUAGGGCCCCUUGCUCUCUCCGAGGAAGCAAAGGCGGCGGGGAGCCAACAGGGGUCCGGGAGGACAGACUGCAUCUGGGAAGGGGCUGUGAGCCAAGUCCGACGCCAAGCUGCUCUUCCCGCAGGCGUCUACUUCGCCCUGAGUCUGUCCCUGAUGGUGGCCGGCCUGCUGGAGACCAUGCCUCGCCGGGCGGGGAGACUCGGCGGCGAAGGCGCCAGGCCCCCAACAGACAGAGCCGAGUGGGUGCGCCCAGCCAGCGGGCGCCCGGUGGGAGCCGGAGGCGGUGGAGCUGUGGGUGCCGCGCAGCCUCCUGCCGGACACCCUGCUCUUCCGCCUCUACCUGCUCUUCCCGGCCGCCUCCGUCCUCACCGCACUGUCCUCUGGAGCACCUAGGCACCUAGGCGUGACGGCUGUGUGCGCCUCCCGUGCAGCUCCGGGGCGCCUCUGGCUCCCAAGCCGCCAGCCAGGCCGCUGACCCUUCCGUCCUUCGCAUGCUCGCGGAUGACAGAGUCCCUGCUGCCCUCCACCGACGCGAGUCCGGGCCUGCUGCUCAGUGUCAUCCUCUCCUGGACAUGGUGCCCUGGUCCCUGCGUUUCCAGAGCACCUUCAGCCUGUCCACCUGGGUCUGGGUAGACCUCUCUGCCCCAGGACUGGCCCCUG
RNAcentral lists this long non-coding RNA (1345 nucleotides) under Chinchilla lanigera (long-tailed chinchilla). RNAcentral describes it as "lncRNA (ENSCLAG00000025850.1)". The record is from RNAcentral. Lineage: Eukaryota; Metazoa; Chordata; Mammalia; Rodentia; Chinchillidae.